UACGUAGGCAGCAAGCGUUGUUCGGAGUUACUGGGCGUAAAGGGUGUGUAGGCGGUUUUUUAAGUUUGGUGUGAAAUCUCCCGGCUCAACUGGGAGGGUGCGCCGAAUACUGAAAGACUAGAGUGCGGGAGAGGAAAGUGGAAUUCCUGGUGUAGCGGUGAAAUGCGUAGAUAUCAGGAGGAACACCGGUGGCGAAGGCGGCCUGCUGGGCUAUGGCUGACACUGAGGCGCGACAGCGUGGGGAGCAAACAGG
This 253-nucleotide ribosomal RNA is filed under the name uncultured bacterium. RNAcentral's name for it is "partial 16S ribosomal RNA". It matches the Rfam family "Bacterial small subunit ribosomal RNA", at positions 524 to 776 of the family's 1533-position model. The record is from RNAcentral.